GGGCCCGCACAAGCGGUGGAGCAUGUGGUUUAAUUCGAUGCAACGCGAAAAACCUUACCUACCCUUGACAUCAUCAGAACUUGUUAGAGAUAACUCGGUGCCUUCGGGAACUGAAUGACAGGUGCUGCAUGGCUGUCGUCAGCUCGUGUCGUGAGAUGUUGGUUAAGUCCCGUAACGAGCGCAACCCUUAUUCUUAGUUGCCAGCACGUAAUGGUGGGGACUCUAAGGAGACUGCCGGUGCUAAGCCGGAGGAAGGCGGGACGACGUCAAGUCAUCAUGGCCCUUACGGGUAGGGCUACACACGUGCUACAAUGGCCGGUACAGAGGGUUGCCAAGCCGCGAGGUGGAGCUAA
Molecule: ribosomal RNA, 353 nt
Filed under: uncultured bacterium
Lineage: Bacteria
Description: bacterial SSU rRNA
Rfam family: Bacterial small subunit ribosomal RNA
Source: RNAcentral